CCAAGGAGUCUAACAUGUGCGCGAGUCAAUGGGGAUCUCUCGAGACCCACAGGCGCAAUGAAAGUGAAGGUGGUUGGCUUGUCCCCCACCGAGGCGGGAUCCGAUCCGGCUGGGGUGAGGGGAGGAACUUGUUUCUCCCCUUUGCCUUUAGACGGCGGCGCACCGUCGGCCCGUCGCAAACGCAACGCCGUUGCGGCGGAGCAAGAGCGU
RNAcentral lists this ribosomal RNA (210 nucleotides) under Paralamyctes trailli. RNAcentral describes it as "partial 28S ribosomal RNA". The record is from RNAcentral. Lineage: Eukaryota; Metazoa; Arthropoda; Chilopoda; Lithobiomorpha; Henicopidae.